CAAAAAGCCUCUCAGUCUUUGAACAUUUCAUAUCAGUGAGAUUUUCUCUUCCCGGAAGGUACAAGUUCCUAACUGAUUUGAGCUGAAAGUAGACAAUCAGAAAAGCGGAUCAAGUCAGAUGCCUGCCUCCUCUGCUGGCUCCUUGCUCAGCUGUGUGUCACAUGUGAUUGGUGGCUCCUGGGUCACAUGGCCACCCCGUGGGUUCUUGUGGCUGGUAUUUAAAUAGCUUGCACCUGGGAAGGUGGACUUGCGAUGUUGGAGACCGUGUGGAGGGUUCCCAGUGGCUGUCAGGACAUGGGUGCCACCAGCCCUGACUUCAGCACUGAGCCCGCCUCACCCCCUCCCCUCCAGCGGAAGCCACUUUCCUAGAGAGGUCGGGCGCAGCCUCUGCCUCUUGCUUGGACUCCAUACUCCACGUGUCCGUCCCCUGUCCCCUUCGUCUGCGCAGACACCGGUGUGCGCAUCCCAGCGCUGGCCGAGAAGUGUACCUGGAGACCUCGUGCUGGCUCCCACCGUUGCUCCCACACACAGCCAGGUUUCCUAUCUCUGCUUCUCGUCUCACUUCUUGACCUGGGAUGCAAAGCUGUGUUUUCUGAAAAUCUGGGCACCACCCAGCGAGCCUUCCUGCCCUUCUUACAGGAAGCCAGAUGUCCAGCGUGGCCUUCGGGUCUGGAAUCCAGGAGCACGGGGAGGGUCUGUGUCCUCAGCCUCUCCAGCAUCCCCGGGCUCGCGGCGCCUUCCUCUACCUUCAACGCUGCAACUUCGGCCAGUCCCUCACUUUUGCUCUCUAACCCCU
RNAcentral lists this long non-coding RNA (796 nucleotides) under Fukomys damarensis (Damara mole-rat). RNAcentral's name for it is "lncRNA (ENSFDAG00000031947.1)". Lineage: Eukaryota; Metazoa; Chordata; Mammalia; Rodentia; Bathyergidae. The record is from RNAcentral.